This 898-nucleotide ribosomal RNA is filed under the name Escherichia coli. RNAcentral describes it as "partial 23S ribosomal RNA". It matches the Rfam family "Bacterial large subunit ribosomal RNA", at positions 1917 to 2814 of the family's 2925-position model. The record is from RNAcentral. Lineage: Bacteria; Pseudomonadati; Pseudomonadota; Gammaproteobacteria; Enterobacterales; Enterobacteriaceae.
GCCCCGGUAAACGGCGGCCGUAACUAUAACGGUCCUAAGGUAGCGAAAUUCCUUGUCGGGUAAGUUCCGACCUGCACGAAUGGCGUAAUGAUGGCCAGGCUGUCUCCACCCGAGACUCAGUGAAAUUGAACUCGCUGUGAAGAUGCAGUGUACCCGCGGCAAGACGGAAAGACCCCGUGAACCUUUACUAUAGCUUGACACUGAACAUUGAGCCUUGAUGUGUAGGAUAGGUGGGAGGCUUUGAAGUGUGGACGCCAGUCUGCAUGGAGCCGACCUUGAAAUACCACCCUUUAAUGUUUGAUGUUCUAACGUUGGCCCGUAAUCCGGGUUGCGGACAGUGUCUGGUGGGUAGUUUGACUGGGGCGGUCUCCUCCUAAAGAGUAACGGAGGAGCACGAAGGUUGGCUAAUCCUGGUCGGACAUCAGGAGGUUAGUGCAAUGGCAUAAGCCAGCUUGACUGCGAGCGUGACGGCGCGAGCAGGUGCGAAAGCAGGUCAUAGUGAUCCGGUGGUUCUGAAUGGAAGGGCCAUCGCUCAACGGAUAAAAGGUACUCCGGGGAUAACAGGCUGAUACCGCCCAAGAGUUCAUAUCGACGGCGGUGUUUGGCACCUCGAUGUCGGCUCAUCACAUCCUGGGGCUGAAGUAGGUCCCAAGGGUAUGGCUGUUCGCCAUUUAAAGUGGUACGCGAGCUGGGUUUAGAACGUCGUGAGACAGUUCGGUCCCUAUCUGCCGUGGGCGCUGGAGAACUGAGGGGGGCUGCUCCUAGUACGAGAGGACCGGAGUGGACGCAUCACUGGUGUUCGGGUUGUCAUGCCAAUGGCACUGCCCGGUAGCUAAAUGCGGAAGAGAUAAGUGCUGAAAGCAUCUAAGCACGAAACUUGCCCCGAGAUGAGUUCUCC